GGGAGGCAGCAGUGGGGAAUAUUGGUCAAUGGGCGAGAGCCUGAACCAGCCAAGUCGCGUGAAGGAAGAAGGAUCUAUGGUUCGUAAACUUCUUUUAGGGGAAUAAAGUGCGGUACGUGUACCGUUUUGUAUGUACCCUACGAAUAAGGAUCGGCUAACUCCGUGCCAGCAGCCGCGGUAAUA
Molecule: ribosomal RNA, 183 nt
Filed under: uncultured bacterium
Lineage: Bacteria
Description: partial 16S ribosomal RNA
Rfam family: Bacterial small subunit ribosomal RNA
Source: RNAcentral